Molecule: ribosomal RNA, 250 nt
Filed under: uncultured bacterium
Lineage: Bacteria
Description: partial 16S ribosomal RNA
Rfam family: Bacterial small subunit ribosomal RNA
Source: RNAcentral
UACGUAGGCAGCAAGCGUUGUUCGGAGUUACUGGGCGUAAAGGGUGUGUAGGCGGUCUCGUAAGUCUGGUGUGAAAUCUCCCGGCUCAACUGGGAGGGUGCGCCGGAAACUGCGAGGCUAGAGUGUGGGAUGGGAGAGUGGAAUUCCUGGUGUAGCGGUGAAAUGCGUAGAUAUCAGGAGGAACACCUGCGGUGUAGACGGCUCUCUGGACCACUACUGACGCUGAAACACGAAAGCGUGGGUAGCAAAC